RNAcentral lists this transfer RNA (84 nucleotides) under Verrucomicrobiota bacterium. RNAcentral's name for it is "tRNA-Leu". The record is from RNAcentral. Lineage: Bacteria; Pseudomonadati; Verrucomicrobiota. RNAcentral also lists the same sequence under 1 other name.
CGGCGUGUGGUUCACAGGGAAUAGCAGACCGGUUCGGCUCAAACCCGAACAGCCUUGGGAGUGCAAGUCUCCCCACGCCGACCA